ACGGAAGGUGCGAGCGUUAAUCGGAAUUACUGGGCGUAAAGCGCGCGUAGGCGGCUUGGUCAGUCGGGUGUGAAAGCCCCGGGCUCAACCUGGGAAUUGCAUCCGAUACUGCGAGGCUUGAGUACGAGAGAGGAGAGUGGAAUUCCCGGUGUAGCGGUGAAAUGCGUAGAGAUCGGGAGGAACAUCAGUGGCGAAGGCGGCUCUCUGGCUCGAUACUGACGCUGAGGUGCGAAAGCGUGGGGAGCAAACAGG
This 252-nucleotide ribosomal RNA is filed under the name uncultured bacterium. Its description in RNAcentral is "partial 16S ribosomal RNA". It matches the Rfam family "Bacterial small subunit ribosomal RNA", at positions 525 to 776 of the family's 1533-position model. The record is from RNAcentral.